RNAcentral lists this ribosomal RNA (430 nucleotides) under uncultured bacterium. RNAcentral's name for it is "partial 16S ribosomal RNA". It matches the Rfam family "Bacterial small subunit ribosomal RNA", at positions 354 to 796 of the family's 1533-position model. The record is from RNAcentral.
GUGGGGAAUAUUGCACAAUGGGCGCAAGCCUGAUGCAGCAACGCCGCGUGAGGGACGACGGCCUUCGGGUUGUAAACCUCUUUUAGCAGGGAAGAAGCGAAAGUGACGGUACCUGCAGAAAAAGCACCGGCUAACUACGUGCCAGCAGCCGCGGUAAUACGUAGGGUGCAAGCGUUGUCCGGAAUUAUUGGGCGUAAAGAGCUCGUAGGCGGUUUGUCGCGUCUGCUGUGAAAACCCGAGGCUCAACCUCGGGCCUGCAGUGGGUACGGGCAGACUAGAGUGCGGUAGGGGAGAUUGGAAGUCCUGGUGUAGCGGUGGAAUGCGCAGAGAUCAGGAGGAACACCGAUGGCGAAGGCAGAUCUCUGGGCCGUAACUGACGCUGAGGAGCGAAAGCGUGGGGAGCGAACAGGAUUAGAAACCCCGGUAGUCC